Molecule: long non-coding RNA, 253 nt
Filed under: Numida meleagris (helmeted guineafowl)
Lineage: Eukaryota; Metazoa; Chordata; Aves; Galliformes; Numididae
Description: lncRNA (ENSNMEG00000008860.1)
Source: RNAcentral
UUUUUUUUUUUAAACACAAGCUCACGUUCAUUUUGGAGGAUUUGGAAGAGACCAGAGUGUGGGCUGAGAGAAGUUUGAGAGUUUGAUUAAUUCUGUCUGAGCGGGACAGCCUUGAGAAGCCAUUUUGCAUGUGGUUGUGCAGCCCAGGUGCUAAACAAUGUCUGUGCUGCUUUGGUCCCACCAGGCCUGGUUGGACACCAAAUUGGUGCUAAAGCUGGAAGAACUUAACAUGGAAACAUUUCUUCCUAGAGCA